Anas platyrhynchos (mallard) is the source of this 4841-nucleotide long non-coding RNA. RefSeq lists it as uncharacterized. Lineage: Eukaryota; Metazoa; Chordata; Aves; Anseriformes; Anatidae. The record is from RefSeq and is a predicted model, not a curated record.
ACCAUGGGCAUUUCUACUAGGACUGAAUCAAAACAGCCUGUGAAACCAGUUGCCAAGCCACUCUGCUGAUGGGAAAUUAGCCUCACCCACUGUUUGUUAUUAAAUGGAAGAGCUAGAAGAGCAAAAUGGUGAUCACAUCACUUUUUAAAAUUAUGAUGAUGUUUGGAGGUGGCUUUACAAUGACAAUAAGGAAAGGGUGAAACCUCUAACCAGCUGAGUCAUGAUUCCUAGAAACCUCGAAUGUUUGUUGUUUUUUUUUUGAGCUUUGGAAAUGAUCCCAAAAUUUGUGACUCUUCAGCUGGCCUGCAUGGGGCUGUUUCCUUCUGGUGAAGAACCUGGAGCCAUGCAGAAGCUGAUCUCUGGGAAGUAUGUGCAGAAAGCACCCUAGAGAGAUGCAACACAGCAGAAAUGGAACCGCUGCGAUUGCAAAAGUUGAUCACCCAUUGCAGAGCACAUCUAACAUAGCAGCAAACAUAUCUUUUGGAAACAGCCCAAUGAUCCCUCUGCCAAAUCCAGGCUUUGAGUGUUUGCCCAAGUAAGAAAGAAGCAGAAAAAUAACCACAAGUGAAGACAUGAGUGCUUCCCUCAGAUCCAGGAAGAAAACAGAAUCUUUGCUGACCUGGGCAGGAGGCAGCUGAGCUGAACGGCACUGGGUAACAUCCAGUCCAGCCUAGCUCCCUCAAAAGAUGCAGUGUAAUUGGGAACUCUGACACCUUGUUGAAACGUGAGGACAGCUGGACACAAAGAAAACUUUUUCUAGGCUUGAUGGUGAGCACUGUGUGUCCAGACAGGCUUUGGAGAAAAUCGUAACAAAUGCCAGUUCUAAAGAGGAUCUCUUACCUUUCAAGGCUGGUGUUAGGUUUCAAAAUCAGAUUUAUUUCAAUACUUGAUUUUUUGAAGAACAGAUCCUCUGUUGCUCCCUUGCUACCUUUCCAAACAGGACUUCAUUUGCAGGUAUGGACUGUCACUUACAGGUAACAGGAACAAUCUUCUAUCAAGAGCUUUAUUACCUCUAAAGAUGGAUAUUUACUAAGCAAGGUAGAGCUUCUGCAUUUUUGUAACGCAUAUUUAAAGAGUAGUUAAGCAAGUCAUGUUUCUUUGAGUUGAACUGACAUGAGAUCUCUAACACUUCACCCAGGCACAGUGCCUAUUGCAGAAAGCAGUUUGAUCAGUACAAUGUCUUUCAUAGAUAGCAUUCUAUGUUGUCAGUACUGAUUCUACUGUUUUGGUGCCUAGUCAAUCUAAAGAGUGAUUCUUGUUCUAAAGACUUUGAAAACUAAAACUUAAGAUAGCCAGUCCUGUGGAUAGACCUCUGCCUGAACACCUGCAAGCCUUUGUGCUAUACAAAAAGUUGGUUCUUGAAGCCUGUUCUGGUUUGAAGUGCAGUCAGUGCUGGUUAAAAAUUAAACAGCACAUCUGAUAACAAAGCUCAAGAGUUGUCCUUCUGCUGAUUCUUUGGUAAAUAGUCUACUUUGUUACUUGUUUGGGUUUUGGUCCAAAUCAAUCUGUUUGGACACAUCUCUCACUGUGAUAAUUCACAUGUGAUUUCAGGUUUCUUGACUUAAUGAAGCUGAAAUCGCAUCAUUUGUCUUUGAAUGUACAUGUAUAUACUUCUUGGGUAGCAAAGCUCUACCAAAUUUUUAUACAUUUAGUUGGUAACUUACACUAACAGGCUGCAAUAUCAUGCUUAUCUUGUGUGUUUCUUUGUUUUGAUUUUUUUUUUUUUUUUUUUUUUUUUUUUUUUAUUCAGAAGCAAAUAGCACAGAAAUAGAUUGGCUUGACUGAAGGAGACAAGCCUGUUCUGGUGCCUAGAAACUAGCUUUGGCUGCUGCUUGAAUACAGAUAUUUGUCUAGGUGAUAGGCUUAAAGUUCUGUGUCUUCCUACUUAAGGCCUCACAGAGAAUUUUUUUUUUUCCCUAAGGAGACAAAGUAAGCCUGUCUUGGUCUGUUUUCUUGCCAUCUUUCUGUUUUGAACACUUAGUGGGGUUUAGAAGCAAUAAGCUUCCCAAAAAGCAGGAGUUAAUACGGACAGUCCCUCCACCCACACAGUUCAAAGAGGAGCCGUGUUUUGUCCUGCAUUCCCUGCAGCAUGGUGCAGCCACCUCAGUAUGGCCACAGGUAACUAUGAACCUGGUCCCAUGCUUCAAAAGGUCACUUUAAUCCAUUCCUGAUGACAGACGCCAGCCUGUUUAGCUAAUUUAGCUGUUCUCAGAGUUACUUCCUCUAUAAGCAAGUCUCCCUAAUGUGGUGAAUCACUGAAAGUGAAGAAGCAAGUCUAAAAUAGGGGAGUUUAAAAAACUAUUGUAUCCUUCUCUUAAUUAAAGGUUUGGAGUGAGGCAUGUAGAUGGAAAGAAGAGAUAAUGAACUUCUCAUUUUAAAGGGGGAAGGAAAAUCAGCUACAUGUAAUCUUGGGUUUAAACAUGUCUGGCAGAAUCCCAGCCUGGAACUGCAAGCCUCCUGUGUGCUCCAUGAGCCCAGGGAGGGCACCUGGUCCACACCAGGAUGCUGAUAUUCAUUUAUCUGUUUACAUGGAUGUCUAUUUCUAUUUUCUUUUGAAUUGCAUACAGUUGAAUUUCAGGCUUUCCAGGAUUCAUAUAGAAAACUUAAUUUAGCUGCAAGUAACAAAACAAGAAACUAGAAAUUCUUCAAAAUAGUCCUGUGACUAUCCUACUGGAAGGACAUUGAAGGUGUAAUAUGAAUAAAGAAACAAUCAUAAGAAAGAUCUCUCUCUCAAGUGUCAAGAGGUCUAUAGGACUACGAUCACCACGGAAAUUCAAUCUGCCUGCUGCUGCUUCUGCAGUGGAGGAGUCGAGCUGUCUCGUUCAGGCUGGUAGCAACAAUAUCACAUUUGCCAUGGCCAUAGAGAAUGUGCAGUAGCUUUUCAGAUCUAUGCUAACAGAGUGGCAAUUCUUGCAGUGUUUGAAAGGCUGAAAAAAAGAGAAGGCUAUGCAUUGAUACCCAUUUGAGCCUCUUAAAAUUCUUGUGUCUUCAGUUAAGCUUUCGCAGCCCUGUUUGACUCUGCUGUAAGUCAGAACUUCCCACUUCACCACAGGUUUUUAUGGCUUACCUUGCCUUCUUGGACAAGCUGCAGAGAAAUCUGUGACUUAUCACAUUGAGAAGCAAGGAGAGCCUCUUUUGGCAGUGACAGACUAGGCUAAAAGCAGCAAGAAGACACUGAUACUGGUACUUCCUUGUUGAGAAGAUCCUUCUACCAAGCACGGGUGAAAAUGAAAAUGUACAUCAGGCUGGUUGCACAGAGCCAAAACGAAGCCAGCUCUUAUACUGCUCAUCAUUAAACAAUAAAAUACGUCCUUGCUUGGGAAUGUUUGGAAACAGCAAGAGGGGAAUCUUACCCUGCAGAAACUGGAGAUGUGGUGUGUCAUGGGUGUUCUGCACUGAGAUCCCAAAAACCCCAUUGAUGAAUUUGUUGUUCAGGAAGAAGCUCAUAGGCAAGGUGAGGUAGCAUCCUGCAAGUGCACAAAAUGCUUGAAUUGCAGAAAUUGCCCAGCAUGCUGAAAGCUGAGUUACUGUAGGGUAGGUUUCCUUUGGAUCAGUUGUCUCACUUAGUGCUCAGAGCAAAGAAGCUCCGGUGUCUUAUCUGCUCCUCAUGGCACCUUCAUGCCCUUCACAAAGCCUACAGUCAUCUCAGGUCUGCUGAAACUGGUGUACCUACCUCUGACAGCCACAACUCCACUUGUGCUGUAAAAGAAAGUGGCCUGCAUAAGAAAGGUCAAACACUGUGCAAAACAAACAAAAUAAAAUAUUUGUUGUACAAGGAAGGGAUACCAAAUACAAGAAAUCAGUGAGAAACAGGCUUCAGUAAAGAGAUGCUGCAAUUGUGGUCCUGGUGGCCACCACUCACCAUAGCCUUUCCCUUAGGCCUUUUACAAAAGUGGAUACUUAACUGAAAAUUCAGAUUAACAAGGCCCAAGUGCACAACCCCUUCUCUUUCUUUGAUGCUUUGCAAAAAAUUCUUUAAUUUCUCCUGAGUUUGACUUGUUUUAUAGAAAUAUAAAAUAUUAUGGUGGCAGACCUGUGCCACCUCUAACGCUGUGGAAGAACAGGUUGGAUUUUUUUUCUAGUGUUUUCAGUGGGGAAAAAAAAAUAAUAUAUAUAUAUAUAUAUGUAUACACACACACAUAUUAACAGAGUUUGGAGGGAUUUCAUCCUGAAAUGAUUUUACCUGCAAGUAAAUAAGAAAACAAAAGCCCACUGAGUUUUUAGUUUUUAUUGGCAAAAAGUAUUUCAGUGGGAAACACCAGGUAAAAUACUAUUGUAUUUUGAUCAACACUUUCCAUAGAAAAUGUUCAAUAAAUGCUAACUGCUAAUAUCUUUGCUCAAAUGUACCAUAAAAAAACAAUGUAAUAAUUAAGUACUGAAUGGAAUGUUGGUCUCUGGUAUUUUAUACUUAAGACUCUUAUUGCCUUGGAAGGUAAUAUAUAUAUAUAUAUAAUAGCAUCCUGAUGAAACCCUGCUGUGUUAUAGAGAAAGCUGCAGUGUUAAAUUUUCAAAACUAUCAUAAAUGUAAUUACCUCCUGCUGAGAAUCUAAAUGCUUAUUCAUAGCACCAUUACUUUCAGUAAUUAAGUCUGUAAUUUCCUUCAGACUAUGAUUCGUUCCUUCCUAAAUCAUAAAAGCCAGGCAAAAAAAAAAAAUUAUAUUUGAUCAGUUAAUGUAUAGAAAUUUCAUUAAGUUUGCUCCAUGCCAGAAUGUACAUUAAAUCUUCACUGUUUGAAGUGAAUCAAAGCAACUUUUAAAUUCUGCCUGAGGUGGUAGGGAGCAGUGAGGAAGGAGGAUGACCCACUCAAGGGAGGGGUGUGUGUGUGUAUUUCUGUCUGUCUA